This 253-nucleotide ribosomal RNA is filed under the name uncultured bacterium. Its description in RNAcentral is "partial 16S ribosomal RNA". It matches the Rfam family "Bacterial small subunit ribosomal RNA", at positions 524 to 776 of the family's 1533-position model. The record is from RNAcentral.
UACGGGGGGUGCGAGCGUUGUCCGGAAUCACUGGGCGUAAAGGGCGCGUAGGUGGCUUUGUAAGUUUGCGGUGAAAGCCUGGGGCUCAACCCCGGGUCGGCCGUGCGAACUGGGGGGCUGGAGCACUGUAGAGGCAGGCGGAAUUCCGGGUGUAGCGGUGGAAUGCGUAGAGAUCCGGAAGAACACCGGUGGCGAAGGCGGCCUGCUGGGCAGUUGCUGACACUGAGGCGCGACAGCGUGGGGAGCAAACAGG